Molecule: long non-coding RNA, 362 nt
Organism: Gordionus sp. m RMFG-2023
Lineage: Eukaryota; Metazoa; Nematomorpha; Gordioida; Chordodea; Parachordodidae
Exons: 4
Source: RefSeq, a predicted model, not a curated record
AAGAAAUUGGUUGAAAUUUAUCCAUACUUGUGAUUCUUGAGACGACUCCAUUAAAAUAUUAAAUUUUGCUCUACAACAGCCUUAUUCAAAAAAAGAAUGGCUUUAUUUUGCAACUGAACAUGGCAUAACUCCUUGCGAUAGUUUAUUAGAGGCUAGAGCAAGCCUGGAGCGUCCUUGGAUUUAUAUAAUAACGGUUAAUAUUUACGCAUGGAAACUGUUGUCAAUCAAAUAAUGGCAAUAUUAUAUGAUAUGCAUGUAAGACAUCAAGAGAUUAUCAAUCACUAUGGUUGAGAGAGAUGACAGUGAUCAUCUGAAAACCAACUCCUGUAAAAGUUAUAUAUAUCUUAUUAUAAUUUGAUGUG